Molecule: non-coding RNA, 3509 nt
Organism: Rattus norvegicus (Norway rat)
Lineage: Eukaryota; Metazoa; Chordata; Mammalia; Rodentia; Muridae
Source: RefSeq, a predicted model, not a curated record
UCCUUGUCUCUUCCUUUGUUUUUCUAUAUCCAGGGUUGUCUCCCUUUGUGAUUUCUUUAUUGUUUCUAUUUCCAUUUUCAAUUCCAUCACCUGUUUGAUUGUGUUUUCCUAUAAUUCUUUCAGGGAUUUUUGUGUUUCCUCUCUAAGGGUUUCUACUUUUUUACUUAUGUUUUCCUGCAUUUCUCUAAGGGAGUUCUUUAUGUCUUUCUCAAAGUCCUCCAUCAUCAUGAUCAAAUGUGAUUUUUAAAUCUAGAUCUUGCUUUUCUGGUUUGUUUGGAUAUUCAGCGUUUGCUUUGGUGAGAGAAUUGGGCUUUUAUGAUGCCAUGUAGUCUUGGUUCCUGUUACUUUGGUUCCUGCACUUUCCUCUUGCCAUCUGGUUGUCUCUGGUGUUACCUUGUUUUGCUAUUUCUGAUGGUGGCUUGACCGUCCUAUAGGCCUGUGUGUCAGGAGUGCUGUAGACCCAUUUUCCUCUUUUCUUUCAGCCAGUUAUGGGAACAGAGUGUUCUGCUUUCAGGCAUGUAGUUGUUCCUGUCCACUGGCUUUCAGCUGUCCCUGUGGGCAGGAACCAGAAGGGCCUGCCCCUAUUUCUCCUGGGUCCCUGUGCGCAGGAGGCCCAGAUGGUGCUAGGCAUUUUCCUCUAGAGUCGGAAAUGUGGGCAGAGAGUAGUCUCCUCUGCUUUUCCAGGCAUGUCUGCCCGUCUGAAAGUCUAGCUCUUCCUCCCACAGGAUUUGGGUGGAGGGAGCUGUUUGACUGGAUCCGUUCAGAUCCAGGCACAGUCUGGACCCCAGGGCUCCUGCAGCUUGACUGACUCUAUCUUCCUGUGUCCACAGGGCCUAUUCAGUUUCCACUUGGACCUGGGAUGUGGGCAAAGGGACACAAAAAUGAAUGACUGUAAAUUUGUGCCCACUCCAUGCUACCACUCACAGUCUAGUACCACCAGAUAUAUCUGCCAGAGAUUUAAAUUCUAGUAAUGGCUGACUGGAGAACGGACUACAUGAAUUCAUCGUCAAUGUACAGCCUCUGGCAAGUGCAAGUUCUGCCACUUCUUAAUAGUGCAACUCUCAGGUUACUCAGAAUCAUAAAGAUGUGUUCCCAGCCUAUGAGGUAAAGUUUUGAAUACACAUGCUUACUGGGGGAAGGAGGCAUUUGGGAGGAUGUGGAGACCAACAGCUACAGAGGUCAAAGGUGAGCUGUGGUGACUUUCCAACAAGUGAGUCAACUGAUCUCAAGUUGGUCAUUCUUUAAUAACAUUUAGAAUCUUAACGAGGUGAUGGAAUUUGUACUGACAAUUCUGUAGAUGUGGGCGACUAGAGGAAGGGGAUCUGGGCAAGGCAUUUUCCUCUGACAAGGAAUGUUCCAAGGGCCAACUGUGAACCAUUACCAGCUUAGAGAUAUAAGAAGAGGUAGCCUGGGUACUAUGGGGAGGCACCAUAUAUCUACUGUAUAUAGUAUUCCUUGGUUCUUGCUUCAUGGUCCAUGAACUAGAUUUUUAAAAAUCAGAAUGGUUCUUUCCAGAUGUACUACAACAGAGAAAUGGAUACAGAAAAUGUGGUAUGUCUACACAAUGGAGCACUACUCAGCUAUUAAAAACAAUGACUUCAUGAAAUUCAUAGGCGAAUGGGUGGAACUAGAAAAUAUCAUCCUGAAUGAGAGACUGUUUUUUACGAACUCCUGAGUCAUGUUCUUUUGCUUGCCGAUAAUGAAUUACUCAGUUCUCACAGGCAGAAGUUUAAAUUCCAUUUCAAGAUGUGAAUUGUAAAAAACAAAUUUGAUUCCAAUCCAGCUCUAAUCAAUUCUCAUGUCUUGAGAAAAGGCUUUGCUGUUCGCAGAGGAGAACCCAGGCAAGAAGACUCCAACUCGGUGUGGAAAAGGCCUGGGAUGAAAAGCUUUGGACUGAGGGUGGCUAAAGGAUGACAGAGUUCAAGGCAAAGUGGGUCACACAUGAAAGAAAGGGAGGUACCACCUUGACUUCAGGCUCUCAUCAAUGACAUCUGUGUUGACAGCCCUCCUUUUUCCUUUCUCGUUAGAGUAUGGAACUUUACUGCCAUAGAUGAACUCAGCUUCUGUUAAACUUGGCAACAGUAUAGGCUGAGGUAGACAGGAGCUUUGGCUUCUGAGUGCUAACCUCGAAGGUUUCUUUGGUGCCGCUCUUAUAUUUUAAAACAUCAGGACUUCUUUUGCCGACACUGGAAAUAUCUCCACUAAUUGACAAAUUGGAUUACAAGAUGUUUAAAAGCUUCUGCACAGCAAAAGGGGAAAUGUCAUUAGAGCGAGAAGUCAAAAAGUAGGAAUAAAAUUUCUGGCAGCUGUACUUCAGAUAAGCAGUUUCAGGUAAGUGAUGUAUGCAGACCUCAGAAGAUGCAGCCAUGAUGCCAUCUGACAGGUUUGUACAGCAUGACUUGGGGGUCCUAAGUCGAGGACAGACAAAGAGGGCAAGAAGGUAAGUGGGAUGCCAUUGGCAUAUGAUGCAAUAGUUUCAGCUAUAGGCAGCAGAUGCUUAGACCAUGCAUGACUAAGACUAGCAGCAGUAACAGAGUAGACCAGGAUUACACACUGUGAGAUGAUAGUUUCAUAUUGGAGAUGCAACUGAGUGCAUUUGAUGAUACACACUUGUGGACUCAAGGGAAAAUGGGGUUCUUGAGUUUUUUCAACAAAGGGGUGGAAUUCUCAUUAACUGAAAUUUAGAAAAUAGUUUUGUGAGUAUGUGUAUGGCUGAAGGGAGGACGUGUUAUCACUCAGGUGAAGCUUUAGAAACCCAUUGUAUAUCCAAGCAGGAGAGAUCACACAGGCAAAUGGAUGUACCAGGAGAAAUGUAGGCUGAAGGAUGAAUUGAAAGUCACCUGGAGUUCAAUGUUAUUUAAUUCCAUAGCUUCAGGGAAGCCCAUCAAGGGAGGGAGGGUCAAGAGAGGAGCAAAGAGUUUCAAGGCUUGAGCAUCAGGAGACUCCAGAUUUUCAGAACCCUGAGAAGGAGCCAUUGUGAAGCAAAAGGGAAGAGUGUAGAGUCUUGGAAACCCAUGCUACUUUCAGAUACAGUGGUAAUAGUGGAGUCAUGAGAUGCUUGUGAUGAAGCUGAUUAUGAUGAAGGCUGGACCUUCAAGAUGUAUCGAGAGCAUCCUAACAGCUUGGUGGGAAGGCAGUAACAGAAUUCUGGCCAGUUGUAGGAGGAAGGAGAAAAGUAAUGGAGAACCUAACCAGUCCUUUCAAGGAGCAUUACUGUGGGGAAAUGAAGUGGUGAAUUGUUAGAGAAAAUAAAUGAAGACUAAUCUACCUAUUUUACCUUUCCUCCAUUCCCCUCACAUAUUCUUUCCUUAUCAUAUGAUGUAAAAGAUGAAUUUUGAAGAGGAGGAGAAGCUAUCAAUCUACGAUAUAAAGAAGAAAAUCUGGAUCAAGUGGAUAUAAAGCUCAAGAAACAGUUCCCUUUAAAAAAUGAGAUGUUUUUAAAAUACAUUUCCCCAUUCCUUUCCUCCCUCCAAACUCUCCCACAUAGCCUUUCCUGUAUCCUUUAAAUU